GACGAACGCUGGCGGCGUGCUUAACACAUGCAAGUCGAACGGAAAGGCCCUGCUUGCAGGGUACUCGAGUGGCGAACGGGUGAGUAACACGUGGGUGAUCUGCCCUGCACUUCGGGAUAAGCCUGGGAAACUGGGUCUAAUACCGGAUAGGAGCCAUUUUGAGUGUGAUGGUUGGAAAGUUUUUUCGGUGUGGGAUGGGCUCGCGGCCUAUCAGCUUGUUGGUGGGGUAAUGGCCUACCAAGGCGGCGGCGGGUAGCCGGCCUGAGAGGGUGGACGGCCACAUUGGGGCCUGGGAUCGGCCCAGACUCCUACGGGGGGGAACAGGGGGGAAUAUUGCAAAAUGGGCGGAAGCCCGAUGCAGCGACGGCGCGUGGGGGAUGACGGCCUUCGGGUUGUAAACUCCUUUCGCUAGGGACGAAGCUUUUUGUGACGGUACCUAGAUAAGAAGCACCGGCUAACUACGUG
RNAcentral lists this ribosomal RNA (465 nucleotides) under uncultured bacterium. Its description in RNAcentral is "partial 16S ribosomal RNA". It matches the Rfam family "Bacterial small subunit ribosomal RNA", at positions 28 to 507 of the family's 1533-position model. The record is from RNAcentral.